Alnus glutinosa is the source of this 992-nucleotide long non-coding RNA. RefSeq lists it as uncharacterized. The transcript has 3 exons. Lineage: Eukaryota; Viridiplantae; Streptophyta; Magnoliopsida; Fagales; Betulaceae. The record is from RefSeq and is a predicted model, not a curated record.
ACUUCUCCUUCUCUAAGCUCUCAAAACUCUCUCGGUAUCCUUUAUUUUUCUGCAACGUUUGUCUCUGUUUCCUGCAACUUUCCUUCCUUCUAUUUUUCUGUUUUGUCCAUUGCAGCAAACAGCCCAUCUCUUCCUCUUUUGCAGAAAAACAGCAAGACAAAACCAGAGGAAUACUCUCCCUUUUUCUGCAUCUCUACCAACCAGAACCAACAAAAGAAAAGCCCAGAAAACCCAGCCCUCUUCUUCUUUAUCUAUCUCAGUUUGCAAAUAGAAAAGAAAAGAGAAAUAAAAAUCUGGAAAGAAGCCUCACCUUAAUCGGUCACUGAGGCGCUUUUUCUCCCUGCAAGUCACUCUCUUUUCCUCUAUCGGUUUAGCACUUGAAAAACAGGGAAAACCAACUCAGUUAAACCUUUCAAACUCUUUCUCUCUCAGUUGAUUUGAACCCAAACAUUAAAGAAAAGAAUCAGAAUCAGACGACCUUUCCCUUCCUUCUUGUGUAUUUCCGGUCUGCAGCUCUUGUUAUCAUUUCUGUGAAUACUUUCUGAAGCAAGAAAGAUCUGAUUAAUAACAAGUUGGUUGUUGGGAUGACCAAUGGAUAGGCAUACUGCCUAUGCGAAAAACAAUAAUAAGUACAAGUUGGCUGUUGGGAUGGUCAAUGUGCUAGGCAAGUUAUGGCUACUUAAUUGACUGUCGGGAUGGUCAAUGUACUUGGUUGUCGGGAUGAUCAAUGUACUAAGUAUGCUACUUUGACUACUACUGCGGAAAAGCUAAGAAAACAUGGUAAGGGAGUCUGUGCUCCAAUAAUUAGCCGCUUAAACGAACAGGGAUUUAAUGGCCCUGGUAUGAGAGGAGUGCAAAAAGAAAAUAAUUAAGACUGUGCAUAUAAAACUGUCAUUACAUCAUAUCGUUGCAUCGUAUAUUGUUAAAUAAAUCAAUAAUCAUCAUAUUAUUGAAAACAGUGAACUCACUAGGUAUUUUUGUAUUAUUGUUUC